AGUUGACAUGGAAUCAACUACACGUGCACACUUUUUAUCGGCUAGUAUUUUUUAGCACACUUUCUAUGAGCUUUCCUUUAUCAUCAGAAGAUCUAUGAACUUUUCUUAUCUUUGUAUCAAAAGAAAUGUAGGGAGGAUCUUGCUUUUUUGCUCCGGUUGUGUGAUUUGAAAUUUGUGUUCGAUCCAAAGUUUUCUUCAGGCUGGACAGGGAGUUUUAGAUCCGUGUGCAGGAGACAUUGUAGCAAAGUACUUGAAUCGAUAGGAUGUUCAAAAAUCUCUCCAUAUGAAGCUUGUAUUUUCGACACGGAGAAACUGCAGAGUUAGGAAGUAAACUAUUCGAGGGAACUAGGAAAUUCCACUUAAUUAUGUUUAUUAUUUUUUCUCUACACUCUCUUAUGGAUCUUGUUUGAUUUCAAGAUAACUAUUAAAACAGGGAAGAAAACUCAACUUUCUUCCCCAACUUUCUAGAAUAACAAAAUGCUCUUUUAUUCUCCCUUUUGGUGGUUAUUUGAUUUCAAGGAUUUUAGUGGUGGAAGUGGAACUUAGACUUUAAUGGUUUUUCAUUAAGAAGAUUAAAGUUUCACUUGAAACAUUUUAAUUUUUGUAAUAAUCUGGAACUUUGGUUCUUUCCAAAAUUUUUGAUACUUUCUAUUCACUUUUUUGUUCAUAAUAUUAAUUAUAAAGUUACAUAUGUAACAUAUUAUGUAUUUCUUUUCACCUCAUUUUUUCGUAUUUUGUGUUUGUCUGUAAUGAAUAAUUGUAAAUCCAAGCGCGCUCUACCACUGAGCUAAUAGCCCGUCGUGCGGGCCUCCCGCUGGGGUUUCACUUGAAACAUUUUAAUUUUUGUAACAUAUUUAUCUUUUUUAAAUGGUUUGUGCUUAAUAGGGACUGAUGCAUUUCAAAUAAAAGGGAAAGUGAAUCUUGCUACAUCUUUUGUAUCAUUGAAACUGAGCGAAUUUCAGUUAGUAGGUUCCCGAAGACUCACUUAGAGAAGUUUUGCUAUUAUCAAGAAUUGGGUUCAAAUCUUUGUAUUUAAGAGAAGAUUUAAGUUUUGGAUUGCCUUUUGAAUUCUCCAAGUUAUUGCAUUGGGUUUCGAGUGAACUCAAGUUUAUUGUAGCUUGGGGUGAAUUCAAGCUUAUUGAACUUAUUCGUCAUUGUCCCAUCACAUAAUGUCCUAUGUAAGAUUCUGAAUUCGUAAACUGGUUAGUUUAAACCAGUCCUCACUUUUUGUGACAUUGGAAGUUAAGUGCUUGUCUAAUGGAAUGGUUAGUUUAUACUUAUGGGAGGUAAAGCUUGAUUAGUAAUUUAUUCUGUGACAUUAAACUCUAGAAUUCCUUAUUUGUGGAAAACUAUAUUUGUCAUCCCCCAUUCCAUUAAUUGGCAUAUUCUUUGCUGUAGUAUAAGAUGAUAUGCUCAUUGUUGAGGUUUUGAGCGGUAGACUGCUUAAGAAAUGGCAUGGUCAUUAUAACGUAUGAAAUUUUAUCCUUUCCUCGUGUGUGUGUGUUUAGGCUUCGUAGAAAUUCUUCUUACUAACAUGUUUAUUCCAGGGUAUUUGAUGAUGGAUGGCAAAGGGAAGGAAAACAUUUUUAUGAUCAUAGUUUCACUGGGCAUAAUCUACCUGUUACUGAUAUUGUUGUUGGCUAUGGAGGAUCCAAUGCUAUCAUAAUCUCUUCCUCUGUGGAUCCUACUUGUAAGCAUGUGUUAUCACAAAGGUUGUUUUGCUGCCUCUUUCACCUUUCAAUCUUCGAAGUAAACACUACCAAGAGGUCUGCAGGUAGAGGAAACCUCCACCAAAAGAAACUUUGUUUGGGAGUUGUCCCAUCAUUUAUGAUUUUAGGUUUCUUUUAGAAAUGAUGUGACAUCGGAGCUAGGAUGGAUACAUGAAUGAACGGAGGUCACAUCUGAAUGAGAGAGAUUUAUUAAGAGUGUUAUUGAGGAAGAUGAUCAUAAUAAUGAGACAAGCUUAUAGGAUAGGAGUAUUUAGCUUCUAGUUUGUGGUGUCGAAAAGAAGCCCUAUUUUUAUCUCUGCAACAUAUCGUAGAAAUCAAAACAAAGCAAGUAAGUUGUCUAGAAAUAUGUUUUUCUCAUACCUUCUCUACUAGAAUAAAAAAACUAAAAGAUUAAUUUCAUUGUAAUUAUCUCUUAUCUAUUAGUAUCCCCUAUUGUCCCAAGAAGUCUACAAUAUAAUGUUUACCUUACUCAGCCUGGAUGGUUGCUGUGCAAUCAAUAUGCACCCACUGCUGGUAGAUUGUCUCAGAAGGUUCUUUGACUGAUAUUGUCUUGAAUUACUGGUUUUCUA
This is a non-coding RNA of Benincasa hispida (wax gourd), 2299 nucleotides long. Lineage: Eukaryota; Viridiplantae; Streptophyta; Magnoliopsida; Cucurbitales; Cucurbitaceae. The record is from RefSeq and is a predicted model, not a curated record.